Molecule: ribosomal RNA, 318 nt
Filed under: uncultured Chloroflexota bacterium
Lineage: Bacteria; Bacillati; Chloroflexota
Description: bacterial SSU rRNA
Rfam family: Bacterial small subunit ribosomal RNA
Source: RNAcentral
GAUGAACGCUGGCGGCGUGCCUAAUACAUGCAAGUCGAACGGGGAGCAGCAAUGCUCUUAGUGGCGAACGGGUGAGUAACGCGUUGGUGACCUGCCCUGGAGUGUGGGAUAACAGUCCGAAAGGGCUGCUAAUACCGCAUAAUCUGGUGGAUGACUAGAAAGCUACCAGGAAAGCCGAAAGGCGCUAAAGGAGGGGCCUGCGUCCCAUCAGCUAGUUGGUAAGGUAACGGCUUACCAAGGCGAUGACGGGUAGGGGACCUGAGAGGGUGACCCCCCACAAUGGAACUGAAACACGGUCCAUACACCUACGGGAGGCUG